This 87-nucleotide transfer RNA is filed under the name [Torrubiella] hemipterigena. RNAcentral's name for it is "Torrubiella hemipterigena tRNA". It matches the Rfam family "tRNA". Rfam says of the family: Transfer RNA (tRNA) molecules are approximately 80 nucleotides in length. Lineage: Eukaryota; Fungi; Ascomycota; Sordariomycetes; Hypocreales; Clavicipitaceae. The record is from Rfam by way of RNAcentral.
GCCCUGUUAGUCUAGUGGUCAUGACGUUGGAUUUUGAUCACAUGAUACAUCCUUCCAAAAUCCCCGGUUCGAACCCGGGACGGGGCU